Perognathus longimembris pacificus (Pacific pocket mouse) is the source of this 488-nucleotide long non-coding RNA. RefSeq lists it as uncharacterized. The transcript is spliced from 3 exons. The record is from RefSeq and is a predicted model, not a curated record. NCBI's taxonomy places the organism in Eukaryota, Metazoa, Chordata, Mammalia, Rodentia, Heteromyidae.
AAAAGAAAUGUGAAGCUGUCUCUGUCUUCCCUGGCAGCUUAUCCAGCAUGUGUGCAUACUUCAAUGCUUCUAAAACGUUUGCAAAGUGGGUGAGCUCAUCUCACAGUUAGAAAUUUGAAUUACCAGCAUAAUGUAAGCUAUCAUUUUCUUAUCAAUCUCUUUGUUUCUGUCACUAUAUUGGGUGGAAUGUGAGGAACAAAUGCCAUUGUUAAUCCUUUAUUGUCAUACCCUGGAGAAGGCUUUAUUGUUUCAUUGGGCAUACCAGGGAAAUCAAGGGUCAGAGAAGUUCAGGGAAUUGCCCACGUUUCUGUAGUUGGCAUAAAUGACAGUGCCAGGACUGGGCAGCUCAUCUUCCUGCUUUCCAAGCAAGAAAUGUUCACCUGUCCUGGAGACAGUGGGAUGUGCCCUUCCAGAAGGUCAUAUUAUGGGGAAAAAAAGGAAGGAGUACAUUGGAGAGAUGCCAAAGGGGGCCUUGCCCUUGGGAGGAA